Molecule: ribosomal RNA, 490 nt
Filed under: uncultured bacterium
Lineage: Bacteria
Description: bacterial SSU rRNA
Rfam family: Bacterial small subunit ribosomal RNA
Source: RNAcentral
CGCUGGCGGCGUGCCUAAUACAUGCAAGUCGAGCGGACCAAAGGGAGCUUGCUCCUGGAGGUCAGCGGCGAACGGGUGAGUAACACGUGGCAACCUGCCUGUAAGACUGGGUAUAACAUCGAGAAAUCGGUGCUAAUACCGGAUAAUAAAAAGAACUGCAUGGUUCUUUUUUGAAAGAUGGUUUCGGCUAUCACUUACAGAUGGGCCCGCGGCGCAUUAGCUAGUUGGUGAGGUAACGGCUCACCAAGGCAACGAUGCGUAGCCGACCUGAGAGGGUGAUCGGCCACACUGGGACUGAGACACGGCCCAGACUCCUACGGGAGGCAGCAGUAGGGAAUCUUCCGCAAUGGACGAAAGUCUGACGGAGCAACGCCGCGUGAGUGAUGAAGGUUUUCGGAUCGUAAAACUCUGUUGUUAGGGAAGAACAAGUGCCGUUCGAAAGGGCGGCACCUUGACGGUACCUAACGAGAAAGCCACGGCUAACUACGUG